GGCGGCGUGCUUAACACAUGCAAGUCGAGCGGUAAGGCCCUUCGGGGUACACGAGCGGCGAACGGGUGAGUAACACGUGGGUGAUCUGCCUUGCACUCUGGGAUAAGCCUGGGAAACUGGGUCUAAUACCGGAUAUGAGCCUGGACUGCAUGUUCCGGGUUGGAAAGGUUUACUGGUGCGAGAUGGGCCCGCGGCCUAUCAGCUUGUUGGUGAGGUAACGGCUCACCAAGGCGACGACGGGUAGCCGACCUGAGAGGGUGACCGGCCACACUGGGACUGAGACACGGCCCAGACUCCUACGGGAGGCAGCAGUGGGGAAUAUUGCACAAUGGGCGCAAGCCUGAUGCAGCGACGCCGCGUGAGGGAUGACGGCCUUCGGGUUGUAAACCUCUUUUGACAGGGACGAAGCGCAAGUGACGGUACCUGUAGAAGAAGCACCGGCCAAUUACGUGCCAGCAGCCGCGGUAAUACGUAGGGUGCGAGCGUUGUCCGGAAUUACUGGGCGUAAAGAGCUUGUAGGCGGUUUGUCGCGUCGAUUGUGAAAACUUGCAGCUCAACUGCAAGCUUGCAGUCGAUACGGGCAGACUAGAGUACUGCAGGGGAGACUGGAAUUCCUGGUGUAGCGGUGAAAUGCGCAGAUAUCAGGAGGAACACCGGUGGCGAAGGCGGGUCUCUGGGCAGUAACUGACGCUGAGAAGCGAAAGCGUGGGUAGCGAACAGGAUUAGAUACCCUGGUAGUCCACGCCGUAAACGGUGGGUACUAGGUGUGGGUUUCCUUCCACGGGAUCCGUGCCGUAGCUAACGCAUUAAGUACCCCGCCUGGGGAGUACGGCCGC
This 836-nucleotide ribosomal RNA is filed under the name Nocardia sp. IM-6653. RNAcentral's name for it is "bacterial SSU rRNA". It matches the Rfam family "Bacterial small subunit ribosomal RNA", at positions 38 to 889 of the family's 1533-position model. The record is from RNAcentral. Lineage: Bacteria; Bacillati; Actinomycetota; Actinomycetes; Mycobacteriales; Nocardiaceae.